Mus musculus (house mouse) is the source of this 102-nucleotide non-coding RNA. NCBI's taxonomy places the organism in Eukaryota, Metazoa, Chordata, Mammalia, Rodentia, Muridae. The record is from Rfam.
UUGCUUUGGCAGCACAUAUACUAAAAUUGGAAGGAUACAGAGAAGAUUAGCAUGGCCCCUGCUAAGCGUUUCAUAUUGACUAGCAAAAAAAAAAAAAAAAAA